RNAcentral lists this ribosomal RNA (507 nucleotides) under uncultured bacterium. RNAcentral describes it as "bacterial SSU rRNA". It matches the Rfam family "Bacterial small subunit ribosomal RNA", at positions 8 to 507 of the family's 1533-position model. The record is from RNAcentral.
AGAGUUUGAUCCUGGCUCAGAUUGAACGCUGGCGGAAUGCUUUACACAUGCAAGUCGAACGGCAGCACGGGUGCUUGCACCUGGUGGCGAGUGGCGAACGGGUGAGUAAUGCACCGGAACGUAUCCAAUAAUGGGGGAUAACGCACCGAAAGGUGUGCUAAUACCGCAUACGCCCUGAGGGGGAAAGCGGGGGAUCGUAAGACCUCGCGUUAAUGGAGCGGCCGAUGCCGGAUUAGCUAGUUGGUGAGGUAAAGGCUCACCAAGGGCGACGAUCCGUAGCUGGUCUGAGAGGACGACCAGCCACACUGGAACUGAGACACGGUCCAGACUCCUACGGGAGGCAGCAGUGGGGAAUUUUGGACAAUGGGCGCAAGCCUGAUCCAGCCAUUCCGCGUGAGUGAAGAAGGCCUUCGGGUUGUAAAGCUCUUUCAGCAGGAACGAAACGGUGGCCAUUAAUACUGGCUACUAAUGACGGUACCUGAAGAAGAAGCACCGGCUAACUACGUG